GAACCUAGAUCUUUUGACCCCAAAUCCAGUGCUCUUUCUGCUAUAGAACUUGUCCCAAUUUUCUUUCCUUUCUUUAUAGCAAUUUGGGCAUUACAUUUAGAGGAGAGCUAAUUGCUCAUAUUCAGGUGACUCUCUUGAAAAGGAGCAAAGUUUUAGAGAGUACUUUUUAGAAUUCUCAUUAAAUGGUAAUAAAUAUGGUACAGAACCCUUUAUAAUUGUAAUCAUAAGUAGUUUCUGUUAGAUUUGCUUCUGACAACUUUGGAUUACAGGUGGUUUCAAGAUUGUGUUAAAUUCAAAAAGGCAUGCUCACAUAAGUGACAUGUAUUAAAUCUAAAAAUGCAUUUGGGGUGGCUGAGCCAAUUUGACUAGAAUUAGUGACAGUAACCAGGUGCCACCUUGAAUUAGGAGUUUUUUGCAUGGUAUUGAUUUCUUUAGACCUGGCUUUAGUUUUACUUGUCCACCUCACAGAAAAUUCCUUAAUUUUUGAAGUUAGUGUAGGAUUUCCUGAGGUCAGUGCCAUCUGGAUUAAAUGUGGAGGGAGUUUUCAUGAGCCACAGAUUGAGUGUAAAAAGAUAAUGUUAAUAAUCUGCAAAAUAAUAAGAAUACAUUUGUCUGUCACAUCCAUCAGGGAAAUCCAGAGCUUGAGUUGUUGGUAGAUUCUGGAUUUGUUGUAAGGAAAAGAACCAUUCCCUUUUAUGCCUCAGAGGAAACAACUGUAGAUCUAUUACUUGAUGUCAAAUUAGGAUGUGUGUAAUGUAAAGCUAGUAAUUUUUUAAUACUUAUGUAGUAUGAAGUGAUUCAUUCUGUGAAUGGUUGACUACACUUCUGAAAAAGAAAUAAUAAAAAUUUUAUUUCUAACUUGUGGCAAGUUGGUUCUUGGUUGUGUCUUUGUUAGAACAGUAUGGUUAAUUCUUUAUGACUUUAGCUGUGUCUUUGGGGUCAUGGUGUGGUGUCUGUAAUAUAAUUAUAUAGUUGUUAAGAUGGCCAGGGUUCUUAUUCUCUAAUCUUGGGAAAAUUGCUCUUUUUUUAGUUCAUCUACUGUAUAACUAGUAACUGAGCCCCUUCUGUCUAGCAGGGGUGUGAUUAGACUAGUUGAUUGUUAACAUAGUAUUUUAUUUAAUAAGUGCAAGGUCACUUAGUAAUCUUUAGACAAGUCCAGUGGAUAUGGUUUAUGUAAGUUGAUCUAGAACUGGAGCGUAUCUAAUCAAAUCCUUUUAUUUUAUAGAUGAAACAGGUGCAGAGAGAUUAAGUGAUGUGCACAAGGUUAUACAGGUAGUAUCAGAGAUGAUAUUUGAACCCAAGUUCUUUGUCUCUAGAUCUAGUGCUCUUUUCACAGUACUACACUUCCUCCUUUAUACAAAUAAGAGAAUGGAAGAGGGGUGAUAAGGUUUUUGAUGCUUACUGAUAUUGUAGUUUACACAGAAAGAAAUCUACUAGAUAGAUGCAACUGGUGAUGGAAUGAGCUUGUUUCUUUAAAGUGGUAGUGAUUUGAUUCAGUUUUUAUUCAAGUUCUUACCUGCUGUCUAAUUUUCCUCCAGGUCUGACCUUAUUUCAGGAUGUUAGCCCAUUUUCCUUUUCUUCUUUAAUUAGUGCCCUAUAUAACCUUAAAUUGAAUAUAGUGAGUGUGAAUUAUAAAUAGGACAGAAAUCCUUGAUAUCCCUUAUCUAUAAGAAGUUACUUGCCUUCCAGACAAUUUGAAAUAUGGGUCCUGGGGGCCUUCCCCUAGGAAGAGUAUUUUCCAGAGUUGGGCUAGAUAAAGCUACCCGUGGGUGGCAGUAGGAAAAGUGGUAGAACUAAAAGCAGCCCGGUGUGAUGCAUGUGGAGAGUAUGUGAACAGUAAUGGAAUAACAGCCGUCACUUUAUAAGCUUCCUAAAUGAACCUACCGGAAAGAAGGGGCCACUGUGUAUAUAACUUGUCAUACUUUUCGGACUACUUUGUUAACUUAAAAUAUUUCCCCUUCCAUUAAACCCCAUGAUGACAUGGAAGUGACCUUGGGUUCUUAAAUGCAUCCUUCCUCUUGCAAAUUCAAACUGAAUUACAAAGGCUAUUGUUGGAGACUGUUAUGUCUGUUAUCUAAGGACCAGCUUAGCUGAAUUUGGAUAAGCUCAUCACCAGGCUGGCUGCAAGGUGACAAAAUGUUUUUGCCACCACAGCUCUUUAAAACAGUGUGUUGGUAGAGGAAACACACAGGUGAUAGCACAGUUCCUUUGUGUAUUGAGGUAUACAAGGUCUCCAUUGUGAUAUAAUAAACUGAUGUUCUUGUUUA
Non-coding RNA from Phascolarctos cinereus (koala), 2267 nucleotides. Lineage: Eukaryota; Metazoa; Chordata; Mammalia; Diprotodontia; Phascolarctidae. The record is from RefSeq and is a predicted model, not a curated record.